GAUGAAGAACGCAGCGAAAUGCGAUAAGUAAUGUGAAUUGCAGAAUUCAGUGAAUCAUCGAAUCUUUGAACGCACAUUGCGCCCCCUGGUAUUCCGGGGGGCAUGCCUGUCCGAGCGUCAUUACAACCCUCAAGCUCAGCUUGGUGUUGGGCCCCGCCGCCCCGGCGGGCCCUAAAGUCAGUGGCGGUGCCGUCCGGCUCCGAGCGUAGUAAUUCUUCUCGCUCUGGAGGUCCGGUCGUGUGCUCGCCAGCAACCUCCAAUUUUUUUCAGGUUGACCUCGGAUCAGGUAGGGAUACCCGCUGAACUUAAGCAUAUCAAUAAGCGGAGGA
Molecule: unclassified non-coding RNA, 329 nt
Filed under: soil metagenome
Description: partial contains 5.8S ribosomal RNA, internal transcribed spacer 2, and large subunit ribosomal RNA
Rfam family: 5.8S ribosomal RNA (bases 1-120)
Source: RNAcentral